This 85-nucleotide transfer RNA is filed under the name Felis catus (domestic cat). It matches the Rfam family "tRNA". Rfam says of the family: Transfer RNA (tRNA) molecules are approximately 80 nucleotides in length. Their secondary structure includes four short double-helical elements and three loops (D, anti-codon, and T loops). Lineage: Eukaryota; Metazoa; Chordata; Mammalia; Carnivora; Felidae. RNAcentral also lists the same sequence under 4 other names. The record is from Rfam by way of RNAcentral.
GCCUGGGUGGCUCAGUUGGUUAAGCAUCUGACUUCAACUCAGGUCAUGAUCUCAUGGUUUGUGAGUUCGAGCCCCAUGUUGGGCU